This 234-nucleotide ribosomal RNA is filed under the name Triticum aestivum (bread wheat). Its description in RNAcentral is "partial small subunit ribosomal RNA". The record is from RNAcentral. Lineage: Eukaryota; Viridiplantae; Streptophyta; Magnoliopsida; Poales; Poaceae.
UUUGAUCUCGAGGAGCUCGAGCUCCCUUUCUCCGAGGAGGAAAUUUGGUCUGCGGUCAAGGCGCUCCCCCGUGGAAAAGCCCUGGGCCCCGAUGGAUUCACAGCCGAGUUCCUUGUGGCGUGCUGGGACACGAUCAAAGCCGAUAUUUGCGAGGUAUUCGACAAGUUCUACUCCAGGAACGGGCGCAGCCUCCAGCGCCUCAACGAAGCCCUAAUCACGCUGAUCCCAAAGUAG